GAGCGCUAGAUUGGUCUCCGGAGACCGG
RNAcentral lists this small RNA (28 nucleotides) under Bombyx mori (domestic silkworm). RNAcentral describes it as "ovarian small RNA-15827". Lineage: Eukaryota; Metazoa; Arthropoda; Insecta; Lepidoptera; Bombycidae. The record is from RNAcentral.